GAUGAAGAACGUAGCGAAAUGCGAUACGUAAUGUGAAUUGCAGAAUUCAGUGAAUCAUCGAGUCUUUGAACGCACAUUGCGCCCCUUGGUAUUCCGAGGGGCAUGCCUGUUCGAGCGUCAUUUCAACCCCUCAAGCUCAGCUUGGUGUUGGGCUGCGCCAGCGUGCUGGCGGGCCUUAAAAUCAGUGGCGGUGCCGCGUGGGCUCCAAGCGUAGUAGCAUCUCUCGCUCUGGGGACCCGGCGGUUGCCUGCCAGACAAUCACUAAAAAAACAAAAGGUUUGACCUCGGAUCAGGUAGGGAUACCCGCUGAACUUAAGCAUAUCAAUAAGCGGAGGA
RNAcentral lists this unclassified non-coding RNA (336 nucleotides) under soil metagenome. RNAcentral describes it as "partial contains 5.8S ribosomal RNA, internal transcribed spacer 2, and large subunit ribosomal RNA". The stretch from base 1 to 120 matches the Rfam family "5.8S ribosomal RNA", at positions 35 to 154 of the family's 154-position model. The record is from RNAcentral.